Helianthus annuus (common sunflower) is the source of this 2127-nucleotide RNA transcript. RefSeq lists it as uncharacterized. Lineage: Eukaryota; Viridiplantae; Streptophyta; Magnoliopsida; Asterales; Asteraceae. The transcript has 6 exons. The record is from RefSeq and is a predicted model, not a curated record.
GCUUUAUCAACUCUCAACUCUCUCUAAAAUUUAUUUUCGUCUCUCUCUAUCUUCUUCAAUCCCAUUUCACAAACCCUAACCCUCAAUCGAUCUGCAGAGAGAACCAGAGAAAAAAAAGGCCCGCUUCAAUGGCUUCUCCGAAGCAUAUGCUUCUAUAAUGACGAAAUUGAUGAAAAUCACCACUCGAUUGUAUCGCUGUAGAAACUUCUCCUCUUCCUCCUCCCAAAAUAACGAAAAUUAGAGUUUUUUCAUCAUCGCCCUCCUUAUUUUCGAUCUAUUUAUACAUCCUUUUAAGUUUUGUAAUCUAUAACUGAUCUUAAAUCCUUAUUGGAUUUUGAGUUGUGGAGUACUUCUUUUUAAGUUUUGUAAUCUGUGUUGUUCUUCAAGGUAUUACAUCGUGAUCGAAAUCGGACGAGUUUCGAUGAAAUCGAAGCUGUUUCGGUUGAUUUUCAAUUGAUUUUGGUUAAAUUUUGUUGAAUUUCAGACAUCUUAGAUGUGUUUUGAUUGAUUGUUGAUGUGUUUUGAACAAGUAUUAAGCUGAUUCGAUCUGUUUCAAAUUGAAUUUUUGUUCGUGUCUAACUGUUUCGGUCGAAUUUUGGUCAUUAUCUGUUUGUUUCGAGUGAAAUUCUGAUCAUAUCAGACAAUUUUUUCAUUAACUUCGUAUCAGUUUAAUGGUUAAACUUUGCUAAAAAUAAAAAAAACACACAACAGCAUAUUAUUCAUAACACUUUAUUCAUAUCAGAAUUGGUGAUUUGUUGUAGUUUCGAUAUGAUCGAGUCUUUUGUGAUGUUAAUUGCUGUUCUUUUCAUACAAGAGGCCAUCAAGGUAAAUAUUUCAAAAUUGAUAGUUUAUUACUGUUGUCUUAACCUUCACAAGAAUGUGUUGUGAAUUUGUUGCUUAGGGUCUGGUGAGGGAGUUCAACGUUCCUAAAAAUGAGGACUCAAAUAAAGUGAAGUAUCAGUUUCAGUGGCUUUACGCUAAUGGUCUACCCUUUGAUGAAGAAUUACUAAUUUUAAUAGUUGUUUUAUAUCAAGGAUUUGUAUUUUUUUAAGUUCUACCCUUUGAUCCGUCAUCACUAAAAUGUAAUCCAGAUUGACCUUUUCAUUUUUUUACACUGACCGGUUUACGCAGAUGGAAACAUAUGUUUGGACAUUCUUCCAAACCAGUGGAGUCCAAUUUACGAUGUUGCUGCCAUUCUUACAUCAAUUCAGCCAAUCUUUAUAACUAGAUUCAAAGUCUUUCUUUCAUCAUUUGGGUUGUUUUGCAUCCCAAAGACUCUUCAACCAAGUCUCCCAGCUCCCAAAAAGGAAGCUCUGCAACCAAUCAUGCGAACUCAAUAUUCAAAAGCCCACCCGCCAUGACUAAAGCUGGUGAGGUCCAGUCGAGUUUAGAAAUGGAUCAUCCAAGCUGUAUAAAGAUGGUCAAAGGACUUACUGACACUGCUUAUUGGAUGGGUUUUCCACUGUGGUUUGGGAAGUUGUUUUUACCGAAAGUUGAUUCUGAAAUGGUGAUUGAAGAUGAAUACGGGGAGAUUCAUCUUUUCAUUUCAAUAGUUGUUUUAUAUCAAGGAUUUGUAUUUGUUUUAAGUUCUACCCUUUGAUCCAUCAUCACUAAAAUGUAAUCCAGAUUGACAUUUUCAUUUUUUUACACCAACCAAUUUACGCAGAUCGAAGCAUAUGUUUGGACAUUCUUCAAAACCAGUGGAGUCCAAUUUAUGAUGUUGCUGCCAUUCUUACAUCAAUUCAGCAAAUCUUUAUAACUGGAUUCAAAGUCUUUCAUAUUUCAUCAUUUGGGUUGUUUUGCAACCCAAAGGCUCUUCAACCAAGUCUCCCAGCUCCCAAAAAGGAAGCUCUGCAACCAAGCAUGCGAACUCAUGAUUCAAAAGCCCACCCGCCAUGACUAAAGCUGGUGAGGUCCAGACGAGUUUAGAAAAGGAUCAUCCAAGCUGUAUAAAGAUUAUGAACCAGUAGCUAGCUCGAAAGAUAUGUAAUUUUGGGUGUGUUUAUAAUGAAAUCUGUCUUUCAAAAAUACUUUAUUAGACUUUAUUUUACCAUUUUGGGUUUUAUUUCACUGUUGAAUUGCAUGUACUAAUAUCUGUUUAUUAAUCAGAGGUGUGCUUUUUGAUUU